UUUGAUCACCAAUAAAAGGUCCAGCCUGCCCAGUGACUUUGUUCAACGGCCGCGGUAUCCUAACCGUGCGAAGGUAGCGUAAUCACUUGUUCUUUAAAUAAGGACUAGUAUGAACGGCAUCACGAGGGUUAUACUGUCUCCUCCCUUUAAUCAGUGAAACUGAUCUUCCCGUGAAGAAGCGGGAAUAAAUCUAUAAGACGAGAAGACCCUAUGGAGCUUUAAACACACUACAAUUGCCUCACUCUAUGUUAAUCUCUGGAAAACCACUUAUACGGGCACUUUGAUAGCAAGUUUUAGGUUGGGGUGACCGCGGAGCAAAAAACAACCUCCACAGCGAACAGGGCUUUCCCUUAAACUCAGGAUUACAACCCUAAGAAUCAACAAAUUGACACCCAUUGACCCAAUUUUUUGACCAACGAAC
RNAcentral lists this ribosomal RNA (421 nucleotides) under Leptodactylus natalensis group sp. ABGD cluster 122. Its description in RNAcentral is "partial large subunit ribosomal RNA". It matches the Rfam family "Bacterial large subunit ribosomal RNA", at positions 1834 to 2439 of the family's 2925-position model. Lineage: Eukaryota; Metazoa; Chordata; Amphibia; Anura; Leptodactylidae. The record is from RNAcentral.